AACGUAGGUACCGAGCGUUAUCCGGAUUUACUGGGCGUAAAGCGCGUUCAGGCGGUUUGGCAAGUCGGGCAUGAAAUCUCUCGGCUCAACCGGGAGAGGUUGUCCGAUACUGCUGGACUUGAGGGCAGUAGAGGGUGGUGGAAUUCCGGGUGUAGUGGUGAAAUGCGUAGAUAUCCGGAGGAACACCAGUGGCGAAAGCGGCCACCUGGACUGCACCUGACGCUGACACGCGAAAGCUAGGGGAGCGAACAGG
Molecule: ribosomal RNA, 253 nt
Filed under: uncultured bacterium
Lineage: Bacteria
Description: partial 16S ribosomal RNA
Rfam family: Bacterial small subunit ribosomal RNA
Source: RNAcentral